This 482-nucleotide ribosomal RNA is filed under the name Levilactobacillus brevis. RNAcentral's name for it is "bacterial SSU rRNA". It matches the Rfam family "Bacterial small subunit ribosomal RNA", at positions 137 to 605 of the family's 1533-position model. Lineage: Bacteria; Bacillati; Bacillota; Bacilli; Lactobacillales; Lactobacillaceae. The record is from RNAcentral.
CAGGGGAUAACACUUGGAAACAGGUGCUAAUACCGUAUAACAACAAAAUCCGCAUGGAUUUUGUUUGAAAGGUGGCUUCGGCUAUCACUUCUGGAUGAUCCCGCGGCGUAUUAGUUAGUUGGUGAGGUAAAGGCCCACCAAGACGAUGAUACGUAGCCGACCUGAGAGGGUAAUCGGCCACAUUGGGACUGAGACACGGCCCAAACUCAUACGGGAGGCAGCAGUAGGGAAUCUUCCACAAUGGACGAAAGUCUGAUGGAGCAAUGCCGCGUGAGUGAAGAAGGGUUUCGGCUCGUAAAACUCUGUUGUUAAAGAAGAACACCUUUGAGAGUAACUGUUCAAGGGUUGACGGUAUUUAACCAGAAAGCCACGGCUAACUACGUGCCAGCAGCCGCGGUAAUACGUAGGUGGCAAGCGUUGUCCGGAUUUAUUGGGCGUAAAGCGAGCGCAGGCGGUUUUUUAAGUCUGAUGUGAAAGCCUUC